CUCACUGGAUCCUUCACUGCUAAAGGGGUCCGAACGCAGCCCGGGAAAAGAAAGAAAGCAGGACCCCCAUCGCGGAUCCUAAGAUCCUUAGGACCCAACUGGAGGACUGUGGGUAUUAGGUGCCCAAGAAGAAAGCUCAGAUCUGCCGACGUUACUUGGGAUUUACUAUCCGACAGGUGUCCGAACACAGCUCGAGAUCAGAAAGAAAGCAGGGGUCCGAACGCAGCCCGGGAUCAGGAAGAAAGCAGGUCGUUUGCAAUCUACCGGAGCCUAAGGGCAGAAGGCAGGAUCGUGGGAACAAUAUCCCAGGGGGGUUUCCACUUUCUGCCAUAUAUGUAGUCACAUCGCCCACUCCGCCUUGGAAUAUUAUUAAGGACCAUCUAACACGAGGGUGUAUACGUCCUGCGAUAUUACGAGUAAUAUCAACUUCUUGGCCUCUGAAUAUGAGGAAGAAUAUCACAGGGGGUCCGAAUGCAGCCCGGGAUCACAAAGAAAGCAGGUCGUUUGCAAUCUACCAGAGCCUAAGGGCAGAAGGCAGGAUCGUGGGAACAAUAUCCCAUGGGGGUGUACCCUUUCUGCCAUAUAUGUAGUCACAUCACCCACUCCGCCUUGGAAUAUUAUUAAGGACCAUCUAACACGAGGGUGUAUACGUCCUGUGAUAUUGGGAGUAAUAUCAACUUCUCGGCCUCUGAAUAUGAGGAAGAAUAUCACAGGGAUAUUAAUAACAAUUUCACAGGCUGGGUGAACACAGCCGGCGAUGCUGAAAUUAUUAUCAUCCUCUCCCCCUCUUCCCCUCCUGGCUCUCAGUCCCCGCCUCACGGGUUAUGUAGCGGGUUAUGGCAAGAAGACAAACUGCAGUUUCCUGCACAGAACAGCACAAACAAUGAUCCAAGCUCAGUUACAACACAAUAUUGGUCAUCAUUUGACCAUGGACUUCAAUAUCAACCCUUAGAAACCUUCCUAAAACAGGUCAGCAAAACACCAAGAAGCAAUAUCCUGAAUGAUAGGAAAAUAUCCUUGCUUGUGCAAAUUGUUUCCACUUAAUUUUUUUCAACAAAUGUUAAUUAUAUUUUUACUUUCUAAAAAUUUUUAAUAAAAUAU
RNAcentral lists this long non-coding RNA (1101 nucleotides) under Homo sapiens (human). Its description in RNAcentral is "HSALNT0367516". Lineage: Eukaryota; Metazoa; Chordata; Mammalia; Primates; Hominidae. The record is from RNAcentral.